UUACCAGCCAAUUUAUCUGCUUAUCUGAAUUUCUGCAGAAAUUUAGAAACAGCUGGCAACGGUGAUGCCAUUUUAUGAGCAUUAAGGACAACUGAGAUCAUUACAGUCCUUCAAAAUGAUUGUAAUA
This is a small nucleolar RNA of Jaculus jaculus (lesser Egyptian jerboa), 127 nucleotides long. NCBI's taxonomy places the organism in Eukaryota, Metazoa, Chordata, Mammalia, Rodentia, Dipodidae. The record is from Ensembl.